GGGGAUUUAGCUUAGUGGUAGAGCGCUUGCCUAGCAAGCACAAGGCCCUGGGUUCAGUUCCCAGCUCCG
RNAcentral lists this transfer RNA (69 nucleotides) under Rattus norvegicus (Norway rat). It matches the Rfam family "tRNA". Rfam says of the family: Transfer RNA (tRNA) molecules are approximately 80 nucleotides in length. Lineage: Eukaryota; Metazoa; Chordata; Mammalia; Rodentia; Muridae. The record is from Rfam by way of RNAcentral.